CCUACGGGAGACAGCAGUGAGGAAUAUUGGUCAAUGGACGAGAGUCUGAACCAGCCAAGUAGCGUGAAGGAUGACUGCCCUAUGGGUUGUAAACUUCUUUUAUAUGGGAAUAAAAUGUUCCACGUGUGGGAUUUUGUAUGUACCAUAUGAAUAAGGAUCGGCUAACUCCGUGCCAGCAGCCGCGGUAAUACGGAGUAUCCGAGCGUUAUCCGGAUUUAUUGUGUUUAAAGGGAGCGUAGGUGGAUUGUUAAGUCAGUUGUGAAAGUUUGCGGCUCAACCGUAAAAUUGCAGUUGAAACUGGGCGUCUUGAGUACAGUAGAGGUGGGCGGAAUUCGGGGUGUAGCGGUGAAAUGCUUAGAUAUCACGAAGAACUCCGAUUGCGAAGGCAGCUCACUGGACUGCAACUGACACUGAGGCUCGAAAGUGUGGGUAUCAAACAGGAUUAGAUACCCGAGUAGUC
This 460-nucleotide ribosomal RNA is filed under the name uncultured bacterium. RNAcentral describes it as "partial 16S ribosomal RNA". It matches the Rfam family "Bacterial small subunit ribosomal RNA", at positions 338 to 795 of the family's 1533-position model. The record is from RNAcentral.